CUAUGUGAAAUUGGACUUGGGUGUAAUGAAAAUUCCCAGUUAAAAUGAAAUUGAAUCUAARACAUGUACACAUCGCCCGUCACUCUCGCCUARAGGCGAGAUAAGUCGUAACAAAGUAAGUGUAACGGAAGUUGCACUUGU
RNAcentral lists this ribosomal RNA (141 nucleotides) under Eiseniella tetraedra. Its description in RNAcentral is "partial 12S ribosomal RNA". The record is from RNAcentral. Lineage: Eukaryota; Metazoa; Annelida; Clitellata; Crassiclitellata; Lumbricidae.